Poecilia latipinna (sailfin molly) is the source of this 402-nucleotide long non-coding RNA. RefSeq lists it as uncharacterized. The record is from RefSeq and is a predicted model, not a curated record. Lineage: Eukaryota; Metazoa; Chordata; Actinopteri; Cyprinodontiformes; Poeciliidae. The transcript has 2 exons.
CAGGUUGAGCUUCCAGAAAUGUUUCCUUAGUUUCCUGAUGUCCUUUUAGGCUUCAGUGAGUUUCUUCAGGUUGUUACUGAGGGAUUUCCUUUCUCCUCUCUGUUGGAGCUUUUCCUGUGUUUGGAGAAAUGAGUUGUGCAGCAGCACCAACUGUCCUUCCUACAUCCACUGCAGUUUGCAAUCCAGAUGUUGGACUGUUCCUGUCUCAGUGGAGGACAAUGUGUGUCUGAGAGACAUGUAAUGUCCAUGUUUGCUGCUGAAAGAGACUGAUGGUCUGACCCCCCUCCUCCUUUCAGGGUGGAGCCUGCUGGAGGCCCAUUCUUGACACCAGGUCUGAGGAAGUAUUCCUGUCAACUCACCAUCGACACAAACACAGUGAGCAGAAAACUCAAACUGUCUGAA